AGGACGAACGCUGGCGGCGUGCUUAACACAUGCAAGUCGAACGGUGACCCAGGGCUUGCCCUGGUGAUCAGUGGCGAACGGGUGAGUAACACGUGGGCAACCUGCCCCUGACUUCGGGAUAACUCCUCGAAAGAGGAGCUAAUACCGGAUACGACCACUUCGGACAUCCGAUGGUGGUGGAAAGUUCUUCGGUCAGGGAUGGGCCCGCGGCCUAUCAGCUAGUUGGUGGGGUAAUGGCCUACCAAGGCGACGACGGGUAGCCGGCCUGAGAGGGCGACCGGCCACACUGGGACUGAGACACGGCCCAGACUCCUACGGGAGGCAGCAGUGGGGAAUAUUGCGCAAUGGGCGAAAGCCUGACGCAGCGACGCCGCGUGAGGGAUGAAGGCCUUCGGGUUGUAAACCUCUUUCAGCAGGGACGAAGCGAAAGUGACGGUACCUGCAGAAGAAGCACCGGCUAACUACGUG
Molecule: ribosomal RNA, 468 nt
Filed under: uncultured bacterium
Lineage: Bacteria
Description: bacterial SSU rRNA
Rfam family: Bacterial small subunit ribosomal RNA
Source: RNAcentral